Molecule: non-coding RNA, 175 nt
Organism: Chelonoidis abingdonii (Abingdon island giant tortoise)
Lineage: Eukaryota; Metazoa; Chordata; Testudines; Testudinidae
Source: RefSeq, a predicted model, not a curated record
AGAUUCAAAACACAGAGGAUUUCCUCUCUAGGCAAAACUUUAAAGUUACAAAAGCAGAGAUAAUCCUCCCUCUUAGCACAGGGAAAAUUCACAAGCUAAAACAAAAGAUAAUCUAAUGCAUUUCCUCCCUAUUACUUACAGUUUGUAAUCUUAGAGGGAUUUAGUUCAGGUAUGG